GUAGCUCAGUUGGUAGAGUGCUGGCCUGGCAUGCUNAAAGCCCUGGGUUUGAGCCCCAGC
This 60-nucleotide transfer RNA is filed under the name Neotoma lepida (desert woodrat). It matches the Rfam family "tRNA", at positions 7 to 64 of the family's 71-position model. From Rfam's summary of the family: Transfer RNA (tRNA) molecules are approximately 80 nucleotides in length. Their secondary structure includes four short double-helical elements and three loops (D, anti-codon, and T loops). Lineage: Eukaryota; Metazoa; Chordata; Mammalia; Rodentia; Cricetidae. The record is from Rfam by way of RNAcentral.